GGUCUUCGGCCCCAGGCCUGGCACCGGAGGUCAGAGUGUGUGUGUGUCAGUGGACAAUGACCCAGCCGGACAAACCCCCCACACACACUUCAAACACAACUCACUGAGACCUUACACCGCGACCAGACCAUUGGCAUCUUUCAAGACGGGUAUUAGGUGCAUGGAGAGCAGUUUAAAGAGCCCAUCGUGAAACAGCCCAUCCCAAGAGAAGCACUGAUGUUAGAGAUAGUUCAGUCAGAGAUUGAGCAAUUAUUUAAGCAACAUCUGUGUAUAUUCCUGACUUCUCAAGAACUGGAUGAUUGUUCAGGCUAAUUUCUCUGCGAUGGAGUAGACACACAAAACAGGCAAGAUUAUUUUCAGUUAUUUUCUCUUUUAAUGCAGAUGCUGGUAAUGAAAAAUUUAAAGCUUUGAGCAAAAGUGCAAGGAAUGGAUUAAACGGUGUUUGUCAUGUUUGUUCAUUCUCAGCCAAACUCCUAUAGCAAACUUUGUCUGCCGAGGAAGAUUUUAUUAUAUGAUCGAAAGCUCUAGAACAGCUACAAAAUGGACUUGUGAAUGGAUCUUGAAUGGAUCUUAACAACUACUGUAUGCAAGAAUAUGUUGUGAGGACGGCUGCUGAGUUCCCCGACAGUAGAUCCUAUCGACUCUCCCUGCUGGGUUUUCUCUGCUGACGGGGAGAACAGGCUCUAAUGCUCUGAAAACAAGCCUGCUGUGGUAGACGCAGACGGAUAGAAUAAAUGACUGGUAACAUUAGAAGAGGUAAAGAACAGUGUUGAGGAGGGGGAAAAAAUUCAAAGAGAUGUGGGGUGAGAGUGAAGACAAGGGAAAUGACCAAAAUGGCAGAAAGUGAGAAGUAGAACAGCUUGUCAUGAAAUCGCAAACAAUAAUACACAAUAGUCUUGUCCUGACAUUUAUCUGAAUGAGAUGUUUGACACAAAUGUACUGAAAGGUGAUCUAAAACUAAUGCUCCUAUUUUCUAUAACUUAAUUUGUAUUUAAAGCAAUUAAAUUCCCAAGAGACCAGUUUAAAAAGAAGACAUACAUUCAUACAUUUUGGACUAUUCUGUCAAACACAGGUCGAUCCAGUGCCAGUGUUCAGUGCCAAGUAGGAACUAGUAUGAUGUUCAUAUAGCAUCAUUAGUAAAAAAUUAGGCAUGUAGAGGGACGCCUCCUUAGCUUUAACAGCAGAGUCAGUGUUGGCUUUUGUUUUGUUUAACCAUGGUAACUGUCCCUAAUUUUAACCAAUCAACACACCACAGGUCUGUUUGGCGGGUGGAAUGGAAUAAAAAACCUCUUCAGAAACAGGCUUUCUCUGUUUAACACAGGAUUAUGUUGGCUGUCGAAGCACAAACGCUCUGUCAAGUAUUGUAGCUUUAGCAGUUUAAGAAGAGAAAGUACUGCCUGCCUCCCAACCUGCCAAAGUGUAAGUUCUGGCCAGACUGGGAGCAGUGAGUAGGACUCGCUGUCCAAUCUGCCAGGGUCGUGACCUCAGCUCCGUCCCAUUACUCUGAGAAUCUCAUCCCUGCCUGGCAUCAACUCUGGCCUCGUUCCACAGCACUGCUCAACUUGUUUGUGUGUUGAUCAUGAGGUGCAGAGAAGCCAGCAUGUUGAUGUGUGCGGUGUUUAAAUAAAAGUUAUGUCAACUGAUUUGUUCCUGAUGUGCCAGACAUACAUCCCAGAGCCCAUAAGUAAUUUACAUUACAAAGACAGCAACCUUUCUCAUUUGACUGCACAGAUUUUACACAGUGAAUUGCCUCGGAGCAGAACAAACUACGGACUUAGCAAAGAGUACACUUAAG
Long non-coding RNA from Micropterus salmoides (largemouth bass), 1795 nucleotides. RefSeq lists it as uncharacterized. Lineage: Eukaryota; Metazoa; Chordata; Actinopteri; Centrarchiformes; Centrarchidae. The record is from RefSeq and is a predicted model, not a curated record. The transcript has 3 exons.